Non-coding RNA from Coturnix japonica (Japanese quail), 1588 nucleotides. Lineage: Eukaryota; Metazoa; Chordata; Aves; Galliformes; Phasianidae. The record is from RefSeq and is a predicted model, not a curated record.
GCUAGUUUGGAUAGAGGAAGUUUUCGCUGUGACAUUCCUUCUGGCUCUUGAUGACAGACCAUGGCUGUUCUGUUUUCUGGCUGGUAGCUGGUUGGUUACAUUGACAGAUGUUGCAAUGAUUCUUUUGGCAAUAUUCUGUUGUGCUGACUGUUCAAACAGGAAAUUCAUCUUUUAGUAUUUGCACAUGUUAAAUGUUUGUUUUAGUAGGAAUCGCUCUGACAGCAGGCUGGUCAAACAGUGUAUUUUUGGAGCGGCAACCUCUGGAAUUCUCAAAGUCCUCAUCAUAUCCCAUAGAUCUUCUGGGGCCUGGCUUGGAGCCCUGUUCCAUGAAAUACUGCAGAACUGGAUUCUGAAGAGAGGCGACGUGAGCUGCUGAGCUCCAGGUUGCUGCUGUUUCCCUUUGUCAGGAUGAUGCGUUCCUGCAUGUGUUGGAUGGCACCUGGCUCAUAUCAUGCUGUGGUGUGGCACUCUGGGACACCUAGGAAGGUUUGCUGUGUGAUGGAGUCCAUGCUGUCUCCAUCCUUCCUUCAGUCUCCAGAUGCCUGGCAUACUGAGGUGGUCAUUUAUCUUAUGCUCAUGGAAGAGAACAGGAAGGUGGCUGUGUCUGUGCUGCAUGUUAGAAAGUGAGGGCCUGCUUGGGAAGCAUGGAACGAGAACUAGCCAGAGAAUUUAGUCUGAUGAAGCAGGUUUUCAUCUAAAUAUACUUGUCUGGUGGUAAGUCCCAUUCCAGGUGACUUAAUUCAGCCUUAGUCAGCUUCUCCUUUUAUGAACAGUUUGCAAAUGCUGAUGUGAUUUAACGUAAUGCAUUCUAACUUGUCUCCUAAAUUUUCACCAAGCAAAAUUGUGUGUGCUUACCUUGGAGCUGAGCGGCUGUCUCUUUGUAAGCUGUGGCAUUAGAGAUAGCCCGCCUGAGGCCCAUCCCUUCAGCUGAAGUUUAUAAAAUGUCAGAAGUUAUAAUAUUUACUUCUUUUCAGCACAGGCAGAGUACUUACAUAUGAGCUUAUUAUGGGAAGAAGCUGAAAUUAGACAGCCUUCUGCUACCUGUGGCAGAAAACAGGUUCGAUCUGAGCAGGACCUCUCCAGGCCCCUUCACCCUCGCUUGGGAGAGUUUGUAAGAGAUUUGGAGGGACAUAACAUUUAUUUCCUACUUCCCUGAGCUUCAGUCCAGGCCUUGGAAAAACCCAUCUGACAGUUUUGACCAGAGUCAUACUGGAUCCCUUGUUUCUGGAAGAGUUACGAAUGUGCUUUGCUAGGAAAUGCUGUUUCUUAAAGAGCUCGUGAAGCCUACAAGGUCUGCAUGCAUAAUAACUGCUGUGCAUGGCAACAUGUGGCCUGAACAGGACCUCACUGGCAUUGGCAGGAGAUGCUGCUGGCAGGUUCUUUAAUACAGAAGCUACUGGAAUACUUGGCAGCAACAUGUCAUGAGGACAUGGCAGUGACAGCUCAAUGCUGACCAGACUUCUUCAACCAAUAUUCAACACCUUUUAAACUGUAGAGGACCCCAAUCACAAGGCGUUGCUCUAAAUUGUGCUUCGAAGCCUUAGCCAAUAAAAUAAUUCAUGAUAGUGCAUGAAGCAGUCAUAUUUAU